GCAAUCCCCCCUAGAGCGGCGGACUGGUGAGUAACACGUGGGUGACCUGCCUUUGUCUUGGGGAUAGCCAUUAGAAAUAGUGGGUAAUACCGAAUACGCUUGCACACGUAGAGGUGUGUAAGGAAAGGCGCUACGGCGCCGGACGAAGAUGGGCCCGCGUCCCAUUAGCUAGUUGGUGAGGUAACGGCUCACCAAGGCGAUGAUGGGUAGGCGGCCUGAGAGGGUGUACGCCCACAUUGGGACUGAGAUACGGCCCAAACUCCUACGGGAGGCAGCAGCUAAGAAUAUUCCGCAAUGGACGAAAGUCUGACGGAGCGACGCCGCGUGGAUGACGAAGGCCGAAAGGUUGUAAAAUCCUUUUGCUGGGGAAGAAUAAGCAUGGGAGGGAAUGCCCGUGUGAUGACAUGAACC
RNAcentral lists this ribosomal RNA (411 nucleotides) under uncultured bacterium. Its description in RNAcentral is "bacterial SSU rRNA". It matches the Rfam family "Bacterial small subunit ribosomal RNA", at positions 79 to 480 of the family's 1533-position model. The record is from RNAcentral.